This 1242-nucleotide ribosomal RNA is filed under the name metagenome. Its description in RNAcentral is "bacterial LSU rRNA". It matches the Rfam family "Bacterial large subunit ribosomal RNA", at positions 1564 to 2815 of the family's 2925-position model. The record is from RNAcentral.
UGAAUACGAUAUGCUACGGCGUCGAAGCAGUGUAUGUCAGACUUCCAAGAAAAGCUCGCAAUGUCAUAAAUAAAGAAUGCCUGUACCAUAACCGACACAGGUGGGUAGGUAGAGUAUACUAAGGGGCGCGAGAUAACUCUCUCUAAGGAACUCGGCAAAAUUACUCCGUAACUUCGGGAGAAGGAGUGCCUUCUUUAAGAAGGUUGCAAUAACAAGAUCCAAGCAACUGUUUAUCAAAAACACAGGUCUCCGCUAAGUCGUAAGACGAUGUAUGGGGGCUGACGCCUGCCCAGUGCCAGAAGGUUAAAGAAGUUGGUUAGCUUUUGCGAAGCUGAUGACUGAAGCCCUGGUGAACGGCGGCCGUAACAAUAACGGUCCUAAGGUAGCGAAAUUCCUUGUCGGGUAAGUUCCGACCCGCACGAAAGGCGUAAUGAUUUGGAUACUGUCUCGGAGAGGGACUCGGUGAAAUAGACUUGUCUGUGAAGAUGCGGACUACCUGCACCAGGACAGAAAGACCCUAUGAAGCUUUACUGUAACUUGAAAUUGAAAUUGGACUUUAUUUGCGCAGUAUAGGUGGAAGGCGUUGAAAGUAAUCUUGCGGGAUUAGUGGAGCCAUCAGUGAGAUACCACUCCUAUAAUGUUAGAUUUCUAACUUUGGAUCAUGAUCUGGUCAAAGAACAGUUUCAGGCGGGCAGUUUGACUGGGGCGGUCGCCUCCCAAAUGGUAACGGAGGCGUACAAAGGUUUCCUCUGAACGGGUAGAAAUCGUAUCUAGAGUGUAAAGGCAUAAGGAAGCUUGACUGUGAGACCUACAAGUCGAGCAGGGACGAAAGUCGGUCUUAGUGAUCUGACGGUGCUGAGUGGAAAGGCCGUCACUCAACGGAUAAAAGUUACUCUAGGAUAACAGGCUGAUCUCCCCCAAGAGUUCACAUCGACGGGGAGGUUUGGCACCUCGAUGUCGGCUCAUCGCAUCCUGGGGCGGUAGUACGUCCCAAGGGUUGGGCUGUUCGCCCAUGAAAGCGGUACGCGAGCUGGGUUCAGAACGUCGUGAGACAGUUCGGUCCAUAUCCGGUGUAGGCGUUAGAAUAUUGAGAGGAGCCUUCUUUAGUACGAGAGGACCGAGAAGGACAUACCUCUGGUGUACCAGUUAUCGUGCCAACGGUAAACGCUGGGUAGCUAUGUAUGGAGAGGAUAACCGCUGAAAGCAUCUAAGUGGGAAGCCCACCUCAAGAUGAGUAUUCUC